Molecule: long non-coding RNA, 321 nt
Filed under: Daucus carota (carrot)
Lineage: Eukaryota; Viridiplantae; Streptophyta; Magnoliopsida; Apiales; Apiaceae
Description: long non-coding RNA (DCAR_LNC007013)
Source: RNAcentral
UCUGCUUAUCUUUGUGGGCUACAUGGUAGUUGAUACCCAGGAUAUAAUAGAGAAGGCUCAUUUUGGAGAUUUGGACUAUGUGAAGCACGCACUAACUCUAUUUACUGAUUUUGUUGCUGUCUUUGUUCGCAUCCUUAUUAUCAUGGUGAGUUUUGUGCAGUUCAAUUGUUCCGCAUGAUAAGUUUUGUGCAGUUCAAUUGUUCCCCUCGGCCAUAGUACAUGUAUUUUGUUCAUCUUAGCUUGUUCAUGUCAUUGUCUGACGUUCUGUUUGUCUCUUCAAUUCUGUUGCAGUUGAGGAAUGCAUCUGACAAAGAAGAGAAG